This 1338-nucleotide ribosomal RNA is filed under the name Galactosomum sp. DCHF 2336. RNAcentral's name for it is "LSU rRNA". It matches the Rfam family "Eukaryotic large subunit ribosomal RNA", at positions 30 to 954 of the family's 3401-position model. The record is from RNAcentral. Lineage: Eukaryota; Metazoa; Platyhelminthes; Trematoda; Opisthorchiida; Heterophyidae.
GAAUUUAAGCAUAUCACUAAGCGGAGGAAAAGAAACUAACAAGGAUUCCCUUAGUAACGGCGAGUGAACAGGGAAAAGCCCAGCACCGAAGCCUGUGGCCAUUUGGUUACUAGGCAAUGUGGUGUUCAGGUCGUUCCGCGUAAGUACUGCUCCAUUCCAAGUCCAGCAAUGAGUACGGUAAUAUAUAACUGGCCCAAAGAGGGUGAAAGGCCCGUUGGAGUGGAGGCGCAGAAAUGCCAGUGCUUUCCUGGUUCGACCUUGGAGUCGGGUUGUUUGAGAAUGCAGCCCAAAGUGGGUGGUAAACUCCAUCCAAGGCUAAAUACUAACACGAGUCCGAUAGCGAACAAGUACCGUGAGGGAAAGUUGAAAAGUACUUUGAAGAGAGAGUAAACAGUACGUGAAACCGCUCAGAGGUAACCGGGUGGAGUUGAACUGUGAACUUUGUGGAUUUAGCUGGUGAGAAUGGUUUGAGCUUGAUCAAAUUGGCUGGUAUUUGGGGUCUGCUUAGCCGCAGGUCUUUGCCUUUCGGUGAAGAUGCGCGAUACACUUGUCAAGUGUUGCGCGCCCCAGAUAAACUCGGGCCGUCUCGCCAGUGCACUUCCGCAGAGUGGUCACCACGACCAGCAUCGCUGUCUGGCUGUUAUGGUUAAACCGGUCUUGCAUUGUCCAUGUGGCUUUGCUUGGUCGGGAUGGCAGGUAACUGGUUGACUUGCUCGCGGUUCUCCGUGGGUGUAUGUUUUCCGGUGUAAUAAGCUGACCACAUCAGUUCAGUGCAGUAUGUUGGAGACGGCGGCUUGUGGUGUGUGCGUGCGUACCAGUUAGCUGGCGUAUCCGGGUUUGGUUAUUACGUUGCUUGUGUUUGCAGGCCUGAUGAUAGCCCGGGUUCGUUCGGUUGGCGGUUGCGUACGUUUCACUAUUCCAGGGCCAAUAGUCUGUGGUGUUGCGGUAGACUUUCCACCUGACCCGUCUUGAAACACGGACCAAGGAGAGUAACAUGUGCGCGAGUCAUUGGGCGUAACGAAACCCAAAGGCGAAGUGAAAGUAAAGGUCUGGCUUGUCUGGACUGAGGUGAGAUCCUGUCGCUUCUCACGCGUGAUAUCAUCAAGCAAAGAGCGGCAGGCGCAUCACCGGCCCGUCCUAUGAUGUGUUGACACUUGUGUUUUCCAUCGGGGCGGAGCAUGAGCGUACAUGUUGAGACCCGAAAGAUGGUGAACUAUGCUUGCGCAGGUUGAAGCCAGAGGAAACUCUGGUGGAGGACCGCAGCGAUUCUGACGUGCAAAUCGAUCGUCAGACGUGAGUAUAGGGGGCGAAAGACUAAUCGAACCAUCUAGUAGCUGG